GCUUUUCCAUUUGAUCGUUCAUUUUUUCUUUUCCUUUUUCUUUUUCUUUGUCUUUCUCGAUAGAUCUUGCAUUCAUUUCAAUUGAAAAUCUGGUAGAAGCAGUGCUCGACUCAGCAAAUGAUCCUCCACCAAGUCCAAUGUGCCUCCCUUUUUUGCUUUGAAUAAACUUAGAAAUGCAUUUUUGUUGAAUCACCUACGUGCGAAA
This 205-nucleotide long non-coding RNA is filed under the name Zostera marina. RNAcentral describes it as "long non-coding RNA (ZMAR_LNC003070)". The record is from RNAcentral. Lineage: Eukaryota; Viridiplantae; Streptophyta; Magnoliopsida; Alismatales; Zosteraceae.